AUACUUACCUGGAAGGGGAGUCACCAUGAUCAAGAAGGUGGUUCACCCAGGAAGAGGCUCGGCCAUUCCACUCCGGCCCUGUUGGCCCCUGAAAAUUCCCCCCAAAAUAUUUUGAAGGAUUUCUCUUAUGCUGAAAAAGGCUGAAUUUAUUUGGCCA
Carassius auratus (goldfish) is the source of this 157-nucleotide small nuclear RNA. Its record names the gene U1. It matches the Rfam family "U1 spliceosomal RNA". Rfam says of the family: U1 is a small nuclear RNA (snRNA) component of the spliceosome (involved in pre-mRNA splicing). Its 5' end forms complementary base pairs with the 5' splice junction, thus defining the 5' donor site of an intron. The record is from Ensembl. Lineage: Eukaryota; Metazoa; Chordata; Actinopteri; Cypriniformes; Cyprinidae.